GGUAAUACGGUGGAUAUGGCAUCUGUGUGGGGUAGGGGCUAAAACUAGGGUAAUCCGAUGUACCUCCCAUCGAAUACCCGGGAUUCUGUGAGAAAGGUGGGUAAUGAGGUGGCUGAACAAAACCCGAGGCCUGAGUGCCUCCUUGGGACUCUCCCAUACCUUCCUCUGACAUACUCAUCCCCAAACUGCCAUCCCUCCUCUGGUCCACAUCCAUGUCAUCUCCCACGUCUUCUGACAUUCCUCCCUGAACUGUUCCUCGUACUGACCUGCUUCUACCCAGAUCCAGAGACCUUCUAGGGUCUCUCAUUGCUCUUUCCCUGUUAGACCUGCUAGACAUUGCCCUAGGCAAUGUUGGAGGAC
RNAcentral lists this long non-coding RNA (360 nucleotides) under Manihot esculenta (cassava). RNAcentral's name for it is "long non-coding RNA (MESC_LNC009770)". The record is from RNAcentral. Lineage: Eukaryota; Viridiplantae; Streptophyta; Magnoliopsida; Malpighiales; Euphorbiaceae.